GGAUUAAGCGCUUUAGCAGGACGUUUGAUAGAGCCGCUGGCUUGUAAAGUGGAGCGAGUGUAAGAGGGUCUGCGCUGGAGUACAGCUGCCUGCUCUCUGAUAAAGGCUGCUUGUUUCACACACUGACGUUGAUUUGUUGGGUAUCGUGUUAAAGGAUGUUAAUAGUCUACUACGGGCACUUGUGUUUUUAACGCUCGCCAAAAGACUGGAGUCUCUUAAAUGAAACUGGUCUCCUGAGGUUCGGCCGUAUUUCUGCUGGGGGUCUUUAUUAGAGCCCAGACGCAGUUCUGUGGCCGGACGUCUGUUUCUGUCAAUCCACCAGAGAAGUGUGACGUCACCACGACAGAGGAUCUCGGAACAGAAAUUUUAACGCGGUCCGAACUGGAUGGAGCGUCCAACAAAAGUGCAGCAGUAUAGCGGGGUUCUGCCGCGGUUGAUAAAGCGCAGGCCUCUGGGUUGCAUAAGAGGAUUGUUCGUGAGCGAUCCAGGGGCCUUCACCGCUCAAGCCUGCCAGCUGGGCCCCGUCUGCGGCUCUCAUCUGUGCGGCUGGCAGCCGUCCGGCUCUGAAGCUCGCAGACCUGCUUUCAGAGCGAGCCAAUGUCACAUUACUGCGCUGUCCAACCGCACUCAUCGAGAUGCCUGCAUCACCGCAUCCCCACACAGCGGAUCCUUGUUUCAUCUGUGAAAAUCAAAGAUGUGCCGUUUGUGAAGCUCGGACUAUAACAUGAGAUAUACUGAAAUAUAUUCUGCAUCUACUGUGUUUUCAGCUGUGUUUGCUUCAGUCUCCCAGAAUCAGUGCUUGUCAGUUAUUCAGUAUUGGUCAAUACAAUGAUGCAUAUCAACAAAUCUAUCAUUCGGUCAUCAUAUAGCUUAACUUUACUGAAUUAUUGUCACAGCCAGACUAUUGUCUGCUCCUGGUUUUAUCAAAUUAACAAUUUUUCAUCACACAUGUAUUAAAUGCAGAAGCCAAUUUUAUGUUGCUGCUACUAAUGAGACUUAGUUUGAAACUGAAAUUAUCUAAAAAUCUCAACAUUGUAUAAUUUGUGUGACAGAUUUCAUCACUAGAGAGUUCAAAAUAUGAUCAGUAUUACAUAACUUAAUGAGUAAAUUAAUU
Molecule: long non-coding RNA, 1114 nt
Organism: Cyprinus carpio carpio
Lineage: Eukaryota; Metazoa; Chordata; Actinopteri; Cypriniformes; Cyprinidae
Source: Ensembl